UCUUUUUUUUAUGAAACAAAGACGAUGAAAAAUAACUGAUUAACUGGAUUUGGUGUAAUAAAGUGGGAGAUUUUAUUUUUUAAGCCAUAUCGCCCAGCCCAGAUCAGACCCCUUACACACAGAGACUGCGCCGGUCUUUCUAUGGACUGGACCGCUCAGCUGGGGAGAAAUGCACACACCUCCAUAUUGUGUGUUAACUGGUGGAUACGGAAAAAGUAGGAUAAGAAGAGCGGGGCCUCCUGCCCUUCCUUACCUUGGGAAUCUGAUGGAUGUUGAAGAGCUGGGGGAGAUUUAAGCCCAGCAGGUCUGUGGGCAGUCUGAUGGCGCCUCUCCCUCUCUGACACACCUCCCUGAGCCGGGCACGCCCCCGGCGACAGAAGACCAGCCACACAGGGUAGUCGAACGCCGGGAUUCUGGUCCCUCGGUCUCCGCUAUCCGGCUCCCAUCUCAGGCAGCGGCCCCAGCCCUGGCUCCACCCGACG
Long non-coding RNA from Fundulus heteroclitus (mummichog), 482 nucleotides. RefSeq lists it as uncharacterized. Lineage: Eukaryota; Metazoa; Chordata; Actinopteri; Cyprinodontiformes; Fundulidae. The record is from RefSeq and is a predicted model, not a curated record. The transcript is spliced from 2 exons.